AUGACUGCCAACGAUUAUCCAUCAUUAUGGGGCUUUGGAACAACAAAAACAUUUAAAAUUCCUGUGGAACAUUUGGAUUUUAAGUAUAUUGAAAAAUGUUCAGAUGUUAAACACUUGGAAAAAAUUCUUUAUGUGCUCAGGUCUGGUGAGGAAGGAUAUUAUCCUGAACUUACGGAAUUCUGUGAAAAUCGUCUUAAAGGCUUGGCUCCUGAAAGUAGAGCUUUGAGGAAAGAUAAACCUGCAGCAACAGCAGCCAGUUUUACAGCAGAAGAAUGGGAAAAAAUUGACGGUGAUAUAAAGAGUUGGGUGUCGGAAAUUAAAAAAGACGAAAAUAAAAUGCACUUUCAUGAAACUGAAACAUCUCCAGCAAUGGAAGAUCAUUUGCCUCCAGUUCGUGGUUCAAACAGCCGUGUUCAUGUUAGUAAGGAAAAAUAUUCUAAUAGCAGACGACCUAAAAAGAAAAUUCCGAGGGAUUAUGCAGAAUGGGAUAAGUUUGACGUGGAAAAGGAAUGUUCAAAAAUUGAUGAAGAUUACAAAGAAAAAACUAUAGUAAACAACAAGUCACAUUUGUCUAAAAUUGAGACAAGAAUAGACACAGCAGGUCUAACUGAGAAGGAAAAGACUUUUCUUGCUACUCAUGAAAAGGAAAAAGGAAAUGAAGCUUUUAACUCAGGGGACUAUGAAGAGGCUGUGAUGUAUUAUACUAGGAGCAUAUCCGUGCUCCCCACCGUGGCAGCCUAUAACAACCGUGCUCAAGCAGAACUCAAACUACAGAACUGGAACAGUGCUUUCCGGAAUUGUGAAAAGGUCUUGGAGUUAGAACCUGGAAACUUGAAAGCUCUUCUGCGCCGUGCCACUACAUAUAAACAUCAGAACAAGCUCCAGGAAGCUAUAGAAGAUUUGAAUAAAGUACUGAAUGUUGAACCUGAUAAUGAGUUGGCCAAAAAGUCCUUGUCGGAGGUUGAGAGAGAUCUGAAAAAUUCUGAACCUGCAUCUAGGGCUCAAACCAAAGGGAAGAGAAUGGUUAUCCAGGAAAUAGAAAACACAGAGGAUGAAUGUGGGAAGGACAGCGGAAGAGCCCAGGAAGACGGCAGUGGAGAUAAGAGUAAAACAUUUUUCCUCUUUUGGUUACACAAAAACCUCCCUUUUUGUAUGGGCUGGCUCAAAUUUUCUAUUUCUACCAAAAUUCUUAGUCCGCCAAAACUUUUCUAG
Enhydra lutris kenyoni (northern sea otter) is the source of this 1212-nucleotide RNA transcript. It is a transcript of the gene named sperm-associated antigen 1 pseudogene, with no coding region annotated. The record is from RefSeq and is a predicted model, not a curated record. The transcript has a single exon. Lineage: Eukaryota; Metazoa; Chordata; Mammalia; Carnivora; Mustelidae.